RNAcentral lists this unclassified non-coding RNA (331 nucleotides) under soil metagenome. RNAcentral describes it as "partial contains 5.8S ribosomal RNA, internal transcribed spacer 2, and large subunit ribosomal RNA". The stretch from base 1 to 121 matches the Rfam family "5.8S ribosomal RNA", at positions 35 to 154 of the family's 154-position model. The record is from RNAcentral.
GAUGAAGAACGUAGCGAAAUGCGAUAAGUAAUGCGAAUUGCAGAAUUUCCGUGAAUCAUCGAAUCUUUGAACGCACAUUGCGCCCUUCGGUAUUCCGUUGGGCAUGCCUGUUCGAGCGUCAUUUAAACCUUCAAGCUAUGCUUGGUGUUGGGUGUUUGUUCCGCCUCAGCGCGUGGACUCGCCUCAAAUUCAUUGGCAGCCGGUAUGUUGGCUUCGUGCGCAGCACAUUGCAAGCGAUUUUAGCAGACCCCCUUCCACAAGCCUUUUUUUACUUUGACCUCGGAUCAGGUAGGGAUACCCGCUGAACUUAAGCAUAUCAAUAAGCGGAGGA